This 484-nucleotide ribosomal RNA is filed under the name uncultured bacterium. RNAcentral's name for it is "partial 16S ribosomal RNA". It matches the Rfam family "Bacterial small subunit ribosomal RNA", at positions 30 to 507 of the family's 1533-position model. The record is from RNAcentral.
AUUGAACGCUGGCGGCAGGCCUAACACAUGCAAGUCGAGCGGAUGAAGGGAGCUUGCUCCUUGAUUCAGCGGCGGACGGGUAAGGAAUGGCUAGGUAUCUGCAUGGGAGUGGGGGAUAACGUCCAGAAAUGGGCACUAUAACCGAAUACGCCUUGAGGGAGAAAGUGGGGGAUCUUGGGAUCCCACGCUAUCAGAUGAGCCUAGGUCGGAUUAGCUAGUUGGUGGGGUAAAGGCAUACCAAGGCGACGAUCCGUAGCUGGUCUGAGAGGAUGAGCAGUCACACUGGAACUGAGACACGGUCCAGACUCCUACGGGAGGCAGCAGUGGGGAAUAUUGGACAAUGGGCGCAAGCCUGAUCCAGCCAUGCCGCGUGUAUGAAGAAGGUCUUCGGAUUGUAAAGCACUUUAAGUUGGGAGGAAGGGAAGUAAGUUAAUACCUUGCUGUUUUGACGUUACCAACAGAAUAAGCACCGGCUAACUUCGUG